RNAcentral lists this ribosomal RNA (480 nucleotides) under uncultured bacterium. RNAcentral's name for it is "partial 16S ribosomal RNA". It matches the Rfam family "Bacterial small subunit ribosomal RNA", at positions 28 to 523 of the family's 1533-position model. The record is from RNAcentral.
GACGAACGCUGGCGGCGUGCUUAACACAUGCAAGUCGAACGGUAAGGCCCCUUCGGGGGUACACGAGUGGCGAACGGGUGAGUAACACGUGGGUGAUCUGCCCUGCACUCUGGGAUAAGCCUGGGAAACUGGGUCCAAUACCGGAUAGGAGCUCCUGUCGCAUGGCGGGGGUUGGAAAGGUUUGCUGGUGCAGGAUGGGCCCGCGGCCUAUCAGCUUGUUGGUGGGGUAAUGGCCUACCAAGGCGAGGACGGGUAGCCGGCCUGAGAGGGCGACCGGCCACACUGGGACUGAGACACGGCCCAGACUCCUACGGGAGGCAGCAGUGGGGAAUAUUGCACAAUGGGCGAAAGCCUGAUGCAGCGACGCCGCGUGAGGGAUGACGGCCUUCGGGUUGUAAACCUCUUUCAGCAGGGACGAAGCGAGAGUGACGGUACCUGCAGAAGAAGCACCGGCCAACUACGUGCCAGCCGCCGCAGUAA